ACUAGAGUAGCACUCGCAUAUCAAUAAGCGGAGGAAAAGAAACUAACAAGGAUUCCCCUAGUAACGGCGAGUGAAGCGGGAAGAGGCUCAAAUUUGAAAUCUUAAAGGGUUUCCCUUUACGAAUUGUAGUUUAAAGAAGUGUUUUCUGUUGAGGUUUUGGUAAAAGUUCUUUGGAAUAGGACAUCAUAGAGGGUGAGAAUCCCGUAUUUGACCUUUACUUUCAACUUUGUGAUACACUUUCAAAGAGUCGGAUUGUUUGGGAAUGCAGUCCAAAAUGGGUGGUAAAUUUCAUCUAAAGCUAAAUAUUGGCGAGAGACCGAUAGCGAACAAGUACCGUGAGGGAAAGAUGAAAAGAACUUUGAAAAGAGAGUUAAACAGUACGUGAAAUUGUCAAAAGGGAAGCGUUUGACACCAGUGUUGUUUUUCUGAAAAUCAAUUAAAGAACUGUUUAUGCUAAGUUGUUUAGACUUUAUCAGCUAACUGUUUAGUUUUGAGCUUUUCUUUAAUGCACUUUUCAGUUAACAAGUCAACAUCAAUUUCUUUUGCUGUAAAAAAGCUUGAGGAAGGUGGCUUGAGAUUCGUCUUAAGUGUUUAUAGCCUCUUGCCUAUGCAGUCGGAGAGAUUGAGGUCUGCAGCGUAGAUCCUUCGGGGCUAAAUGCAUUUGUGCUAAGUUAUAGCAUUUUAUAGACAACUUGUUGACUAUGAUUUGUCUUGUAGCUUACUCGCUUAUGUUAUUUUACCUACGCUUAGGAUGUUGAGCGCAUGUCUCUCUCU
Molecule: ribosomal RNA, 774 nt
Filed under: uncultured Neocallimastigales
Lineage: Eukaryota; Fungi; Neocallimastigomycota; Neocallimastigomycetes; Neocallimastigales
Description: partial large subunit ribosomal RNA
Rfam family: Eukaryotic large subunit ribosomal RNA
Source: RNAcentral